Long non-coding RNA from Bubalus bubalis (water buffalo), 939 nucleotides. RefSeq lists it as uncharacterized. The record is from RefSeq and is a predicted model, not a curated record. Lineage: Eukaryota; Metazoa; Chordata; Mammalia; Artiodactyla; Bovidae. The transcript has 3 exons.
UUAGAAUUUUACACACAUCAGUGAUUAACUAUUGACAAAAAUCUAGUAUACAAUUUAGACAGAUGGGAAAUGAGCUGCAUUUGAAGGGAAUUAGUAAAGGAUAUAUAGAGGGUGGAGAAUUAGAAAGUGUCUUUCUUUCUCAGUGGAACCAAAACCAGUUGGGUUCUUUUCUAGAAUCAUGAUUCCAACACUAUUCUGAUGUAGAAGCAAAACCAUAGGCUUUAGAAGAAUAUUUAACUUUCCACAUUUUCUAAAGUCACUAGGAAGUCUCCCUCAGUUAUUUCUCAUUCUACAUGCUGAUUGACUACAAACCCCACUGGUGGUAAACAUCUAGAUGUUGCUGUGCCUGUGUUUUAAAAUUUUUAUUUGUUACUGUCUUUUUUGACAGGACAUAGCUACAGAAGAAGAGAAGAGAAAAAUCUAGUUUGAAGAGAGUAUAUGUACCAAUCCAUCUCACCCAUUAAGUAUUGAUAAUUUUACAUUACAAUUUUAAAAUGACAAGGAAUUAUUGCUCCAGUACCAGCCAGUCUGAAACAGAAGCAAGUCUGUUUUCCUUCCCCUGUGGUUAGCACAGAGUGUCUGGACAAAUAGAAGAUUAAAUUCUUAAAAUAUGCACCCAAAUGAGGCUGAGGCUGGGUGUGUUUUCAUAUUGUUCUACAACCAAACACAGAUGUUAAGUGGUAAUAUUGGUGGAGGACCAAGAAAGAGCAUUUUCAAGCACUUUCCAUGUGAGGGACUGCUGGAGAGAACUGAUUUACUGAGACGACAUGGCAUUUAAGCUGAAAAAAGAGGAGGAUGUGGAGUCAUUGCAAGAAGGAGGAAAAAAACAGUAUGAUUAACAUAUAAUAUAUAUAAAAUAUCAGUAGUAUUUGAUGUUGAAAAAGAUUUAUUCUUUUUGACAUGUAAUGUCAAUUCCAUUGUAUUUAUUAAAGUAUGAAA